UAACUCCGGUUGAUCCUGCCGGACCCCACUGCUAUCGGGGUGGGACUAAGACAUGCUAGUCGUGCGCCUCCAAGCCAUGGUGGAGGCGCGGCGCACAGCUCAGUAACACGUGGCUAACCUGCCCUUGGGACGGGGAUAACCCCGGGAAACUGGGGCUAAUACCCGAUAGGCGAGGACUCCUGGAAUGGGUCUUCGCCAAAAGGGCGCCUGGACCAUGCUCUAGGCGCCGCCCAAGGAUGGGGCCGCGGCCGAUCAGGUAGUUGGUGAGGUAACGGCUCACCAAGCCUAUAACCGGUACGGGCCGUGAGAGCGGGAGCCCGGAGAUGGGCCCUGAGACAAGGGCCCAGGCCCUACGGGGCGCAGCAGGCGCGAAACCUCCGCUAUGCG
RNAcentral lists this ribosomal RNA (387 nucleotides) under Candidatus Bathyarchaeota archaeon. Its description in RNAcentral is "bacterial SSU rRNA". It matches the Rfam family "Archaeal small subunit ribosomal RNA", at positions 1 to 359 of the family's 1478-position model. The record is from RNAcentral. Lineage: Archaea; Thermoproteati; Candidatus Bathyarchaeota.